CAUUUGCCUGCAGUGUCUAAUCCAGGCUCAUCGCACAGUGCAUGUGAGCCACACGCGUGGACUGAGCACAUGAAAAAGCACCUGACUCUGCCUGGAAGUGUGAGCGGGGGCUUCCAGAGGAGUCAGCAGCUGACAUCGGGCAUAAAGGGAAACUGAAAGUAUCAGAUCAAAGGGACAAGGCAGCAGGCAAAGGGCAUUUCCAACAGAAGAAACAAAUACAAAGGCCUGAAACCACAAAAAGGGAGCAAAAAUUCUGAGAAGGAAAAAGAGGGCAUGGGUCUCACCUGAGCAAUGAACCGUAUGCAAGUCUGCCUAGGGGAGGCCACAAGAGUGGAUUUAUACUGGUGAACCCACAAGAAAAAUGUGUACCUGAUAGAGCAUCAGACAUGAAAGGACAACUCAAUUCCUUUUGGAAAAGGAUCAUUCAUCUGGACCGUUUUGGUGAAGUAGAGUCACUAGUCUUGACCCUACGAAAUCAAUGCUGAUAAUAAAA
Long non-coding RNA from Artibeus jamaicensis (Jamaican fruit-eating bat), 493 nucleotides. RefSeq lists it as uncharacterized. The transcript is spliced from 3 exons. The record is from RefSeq and is a predicted model, not a curated record. Lineage: Eukaryota; Metazoa; Chordata; Mammalia; Chiroptera; Phyllostomidae.